This 76-nucleotide transfer RNA is filed under the name Photorhabdus temperata. Its description in RNAcentral is "tRNA-Phe". It matches the Rfam family "tRNA". From Rfam's summary of the family: Transfer RNA (tRNA) molecules are approximately 80 nucleotides in length. Their secondary structure includes four short double-helical elements and three loops (D, anti-codon, and T loops). The record is from RNAcentral. Lineage: Bacteria; Pseudomonadati; Pseudomonadota; Gammaproteobacteria; Enterobacterales; Morganellaceae. RNAcentral also lists the same sequence under 1 other name.
GGAACUUUAGCGUAGAAGGUUCGCGCGGGUGACUGAAAAUCACUAGGACAUGGUUCGAUUCCAUGAGGUUCCACCA